This 804-nucleotide ribosomal RNA is filed under the name Methanoculleus bourgensis. RNAcentral's name for it is "bacterial SSU rRNA". It matches the Rfam family "Archaeal small subunit ribosomal RNA", at positions 143 to 951 of the family's 1478-position model. The record is from RNAcentral. Lineage: Archaea; Methanobacteriati; Methanobacteriota; Methanomicrobia; Methanomicrobiales; Methanomicrobiaceae.
UGGGGAAUACCCUAUAGAUUACAGAUGCUGGAAUGCCCUGUAAUCCAAAGUUCCGACGCCCUAGGAUGGAUCUGCGGCCGAUUAGGUUGUUGUUGGGGUAAUGGCCCAACAAGCCCGUAAUCGGUACGGGUUGUGGGAGCAAGAGCCCGGAGUUGGAUUCUGAGACACGAAUCCAGGCCCUACGGGGCGCAGCAGGCGCGAAAACUUUACAAUGCGGGCAACCGUGAUAAGGGAACCUCGAGUGCCUGUAAAUGCAGGCUGUUCAGGUGCCUAAAACACACCUGAAGAAAGGGCCGGGCAAGACCGGUGCCAGCCGCCGCGGUAAUACCGGCGGCUCGAGUGGUGGCCGCUUUUAUUGGGCUUAAAGCGUUCGUAGCUGGGUUGUUAAGUCUCUUGGGAAAUCUGGCGGCUUAACCGUCAGGCGUCUAAGGGAUACUGGCAAUCUUGGAACCGGGAGAGGUGAGGGGUACUUCGGGGGUAGGAGUGAAAUCCUGUAAUCCUCGAGGGACCACCUGUGGCGAAGGCGCCUCACCAGAACGGCUUCGACAGUGAGGGACGAAAGCUGGGGGAGCAAACCGGAUUAGAUACCCGGGUAGUCCCAGCCGUAAACUAUGCGCGUUAGGUGUAUCGGUGACCACGAGUUACCGAGGUGCCGAAGGGAAACCGUGAAACGUGCCGCCUGGGAAGUACGGUCGCAAGGCUGAAACUUAAAGGAAUUGGCGGGGGAGCACCACAACAGGUGGAGCCUGCGGUUUAAUUGGACUCAACGCCCGGGAAGCUCACCGGAUAAGACAGCAAAAUGAU